AGGGUUAUUGCCAAGUGGUAAGGCAACAGGUUCUGACCCUGUCACUCGUAGGUUCGAAUCCUACUAACCCUGCCA
This 75-nucleotide transfer RNA is filed under the name Firmicutes bacterium CAG:313. RNAcentral's name for it is "transfer RNA-Gln(CTG)". It matches the Rfam family "tRNA". From Rfam's summary of the family: Transfer RNA (tRNA) molecules are approximately 80 nucleotides in length. Their secondary structure includes four short double-helical elements and three loops (D, anti-codon, and T loops). RNAcentral also lists the same sequence under 2 other names. Lineage: Bacteria; Bacillati; Bacillota. The record is from RNAcentral.